Molecule: non-coding RNA, 5734 nt
Organism: Meleagris gallopavo (turkey)
Lineage: Eukaryota; Metazoa; Chordata; Aves; Galliformes; Phasianidae
Source: RefSeq, a predicted model, not a curated record
AGGCCAUGUUGCUUAGAUCAUCAGUUUGCCCUUGUGUUACUUGAGGAAGAAGAUCUGUUUGAGUGCUGUCUCCAUGGAGCUUUGUGAGACAGGUUCCAAGCCAGGAGGCUUGUGUUUGAAAGGAGUUUUGCUGAACAGAGUGUUCAGAGUGAAGGAUGAAGCAAGCCUGGCUCCUGAAAGAGUUUUCUUAUGGCCUCACAAGUCUGUUCCCUCAGGAGCCGCCCAGGCUGGAGUGGUUAUUACAGUCACAGCCCCUUCGUGUCACCUCAUGAUGAAAUCAGCGUGGCAUUUUGUGACUCACAACACUGUCUAAGCCGUGAAACACUUUCUGAGCCCUGAAAACAUCUCGAGCCACUGCAGGUUGAGAGCAGGAGAAAGCAGCUUGUCUCUCACUGAUGACCCAAGAGCAUCCUCUAGUGCAUAUUUAAGGUUAAUGGCUGUGUUCAUGGAGAGUAAAAUAAUUACCAGGAGGCAAUGGUGCUAAUUACACAGAGCAGAAUAAAUGUGCACAGUCAGACCCUCUGCUAACAUAAAUAGAUUUCCACAGAUUUACUCUUACGCUAUGAGACUGUUCAAAGCUUUCCUUGCCUUUCUCCCUACCCGAGAAGAGAAAUUUGGAGCCUAAGUUCUCAGAGAUGUGAACUCUUGCUCUGUAAGGACAUUGACAUAUCCAUGUUUACUUCCCAGCUUUCUAUUUUUAAGCUACCCGGCCAAAACUGCAAGAGCUCAGAUGAAGCACUCAGCUGUGCUAAAUAUUCCCAGCAUGACUGUUUUGAUGACUGAAACUCUGACUCCCAAAAUCUGUGCCUUUUGAGCUCUCCCAUGGGUCCCUGCAGCUGGGUCACAGCACUCCUUUCUGCCUGAGCUGGGAGAGAUCUCAUGUAUGUAUCUCAUCCAGUUAUACAGUCGUAUUUUCCGUUCGGGGCCCAGGCCAAACCAGUUGCAGAGGAGGCAGUGGUAGAAACUGGCUUUAGCAGUGACUCCUACAAACUGUGACAUCGUCUUUUUUAAACUGAAGUCCAUUUUAUACAAAGUGCACAACGCACUCACCUUAGAAAAGAAAGCUGAGUGGUGUUGGGUGUAAUGUCAGAACCUGGCUGCACUUCUGAUUCCUGCCAACUCCCUACUGAGAGUUGCGUUUUACUUUAGAUUUGCCAGUUACUCAGCUCUUAAUUCACUUACUUCCUAAGUUAUUAGCUACUGCCUUAACUUACAAUGAGAGAACUGCACAAUAAAUUAUCUAUUUAUUAUCUGUAUUAUUUUUAUAAAUUAUAUAAAUUAUCUGUAUUUAGUUGCUGUUGUCAGCCAAACCGAUAGUUUCACGAAAAUAGAAAAUCAAGCUUCUUUCACAAGACUUUUUUUCCCCGUAAAUCAUGUUGACCUCUGUUAUUUACACCUUUCAUUUGUUGACUUUUAUAUUAGCAUUUCAUUACUUUGCCCAGAAUUGCUAUGCUAACUGGCUUAGAACGGCCUAGCUGCUUGAGUUAUGUUUUUAUUAGUUUGUCCAAAUGCAGCAUUUCUCCAAUCCUGUAAAACGUCUGAAGUCCUCCAAGAUGAAAUGGGAGAGGAGCAGAGAUCCCUUGAGCCAAUUCACUCUGGUUGUGAGGGUGACAGUUGCAUGGACCUGUUAAGGUAAUAAUGUUUAUCCUCAGUAAUGCUGUUUAAUAGCCUCCUUGGUUACUAAUGGGAUGGAAAGUGCAUUGUCUCCUCAUGACAUCAAUGCGUGAUUCUUCUUGUUUCCAAAGUCUGAACAAAAAUAUUUAUUGAACACCUCAGUCAUCUUCACAUCAACAUCAACAAUUUGACCACUUCCAUCUUGUGAUGCUCGUGCUUCUGAAACAGCUUACAUGUAAACUAGAGCCAAAAGGCAGCUUAUUGUCCUGCUCUAUCUGAAAUCCCCACAACUGACUUAGGACCUGAUUGUUCAAGACUGCAGCAAUGCAAUCCUGAAGGCUGCUCAGGGAUGAAUGCAGCCUCCCAGGAUGCUGCUAUCUUUGUUUCUGGACGCCAACAUGACUUCAGAUUGAAAUGGGCAAUGGCUGACACAUCACAUGCUCCUACUGAUUUUGUUAAAGGUAAAGAUGGCUGCAGUUCAAGAUUUAAAUUAGUGUGAAAGGCAGCACUAUACUCUCCUUAAGCCUUAAAUUUGUUUUACAACUGCGGGCAUUUUUCAUCUGAUGUUUUUAAAAGCUGAUUUCUAGGCACCAUCCAUUCUAAGUGCUUCCAAUGUAAAAAAUUAACCAGCUGCAGCACAGAGAUGGAAGAAAAUGGAUUAACUUUGAUAACACGGCUCAGAAGUGGCAUGGACCUACAAACCUGCAGAGUGAGGCAGUGCCUGAUGGCCGCUGACAUCAGUGCUCUCUCAGUUAAUGACUAUGGUCUGUGACCAGAUCCUGUGAUUAGGGCUCUGAAGGUGCCGACUUCCAUUCAUGUGGGUUGGGUUACAUCACACAGACUGCUCUCUUCCUGGACACUCCUGGCACUUAGAGGUUCAUGUGCUGGGAGUGCCCUGGCUGUGCAAAUGCUGUGCUCUCCUCCUAUUCACUGCGUGCAUGGCUCUGCAGUGUGCAAGGAAUCACACUGUUGUUCUUGAUCUCCAAUUCUGUCCCCUUUAAGGACAAACAAAAAGCGUAUUUUAAAACAUAGGCUUUCUGGAUGAUGUUCUGCAUUUUGGUUUUGUUUUGCCUUAAAGCAGGAAAUGUCAUCUCUUGGAAAGCUAUUGUGGCCAUUAUGGGGGAGAGAAAGCAUGAACCAUGCUUCUGCAAGACGUUUGUCCUUCAGGGACAAAGAAACCUGGCAAACGUGGACAGUGCACUCUUCAAAACACUUUCAAGUAUUAACCGGAAAUUUCAAAAGUCCUUUUGUCCCACCAGUCCAGUACUGUAUUGCUCUUUACCCUCCCUUCAAGUAUGUGCAGAAUAUAUUUGCAUAAACUUUGCUGAAUUCACUGUGAAAGGGCACAGUGAGCUCUGUGCGGUUAACCUCGGCUCCUCUCCCUGUCCAGACGUGUCCCAGGCAAUCAGCUUACUGCUGAACAACAGAUCACAGGACCAGUCAGGCCACACACUGGAGAAUUUCCUGUUCUCCUCAUGUUAAUAAGAGGGCUUCUUAUAAAUGUGAUUAUUGGAGUCAAAGAUGUUGCUUAAUUUCUUUUCUUUGUGUGUUCAGCUAUUACAAGCUAUAACAACAACAAAAAAAAAUUACAGACAACACAAUCAGCCUUAACUAUACCAUCUCUUGCCCCUCCUCACUUUAUUGCCUUUCUUUUUAAAAUUCUAAUAAGUUAUCUCCAUUUUACCUAGGAUCGUGGAGGGAUUUGAUUUUCAUCUUUUCCAGGUAUACAUUAGGUUCUACUGAAUGAUGAUUUAUACUUCAGCAAUGCUGAGCAGCUCAAUGCAUAGUACAAUGUAUGCAGUUCAGUCUCUAAGCACACCACUUGGAGGACCUCUUCGUGGCAUGUCUGUGCUGUGUUUGCUCCUCUAAUCUCCACCAUGUGUUGGAGGUAAUGGAUAUGCAAACCCAGGCACUGAGAAACGCCUAACGUUAAAAUGUAGAGUGGAGAAGAUAACUCUUGAGAAUGAAUGAGAAAUUAAGACAAUGCAGAGCUAAUGAAUGUCUCUGUAUUUAAAUUCAACUCACAGUGAGUGGGUGGAAAGCUCAAGGACGUUUCUUUAAGAUCCCAAGAGGAGAAAUCUGGCCUACAGCAGCUAGGGGGAAGACAAAAUGCAGCUAGACAAGAUGGAGAGAGGAGGUGAUGUGCAUGGAAAAGGCUCUGCACUGUGAUGUGUUGCAAAAGAAUUGGCAACCGCCUCCUUAGUGAUAUUUAGCAGCAUAAUCCAUUCCAAUCUUUAAGCAAUUGGCUAUUAGGCAUGCGUGACCAGCAGAGAUUGCUGUUUUUCCUCAGAGGCCCUAUUUGCUGGUAUUACACCUGCCUCCUUGCUGCUCUGGAACUCUUGAACUGGUGCUAGAGAAAAACACAAAUCAGUGAAAAAAAUGUGCACUCCAGGGAAAGGAGAAGCAGUUUGGUGAUGGCUGCACCCUUCUCUGAGAGCUUCUAAAGCCUCCAGUAUGUGACCUGGCCAGUGAAAUACAACAUGGCCCUGCCUGCCUGCGGUAACCAGACUCAAUCAAUUGAGAGCUGCUUCUCCUGAAGAUUUUCCUGCAGAAAAUGCAGGAAAAUGCAAACAAACUGAUAUAACAAUGGCAGUCAGGCAGUUCUGUUAUCUCCUAAUGGGCACCCAUGCCGUAUGAUAGAUAUUGAAAGGGUCCAGACAACUGGCAAUGUGGUACCUCUGGUUCUUGUUCAGGUGUUACUUUGCCUUCCUCUGCCCAUCAUCUCACGUACCCACAAGUUGUUUUCAGGACUUAGCUUUCUCAUAAUGAAAGUACCCUGCAAAAUAUGAAAAUACCUUGCACUCUUGUGUCAUCUAGACCAGCGUGGAUGCAUUGAAAAAAUACCACAGUCCAUGCCUGGCUUGCCUUAUUCUGUGUCAGUAGGAAUUGCUCUGUUUACCUGAAGCAGAUGGAGCUUUUUGGUGAAAAGCACAGCUCUGAGACAUGUGCAUGUAUUUAGCUGGCACACACACUUUGCCGGGUUUUAAGAUGAUUCAAUGAAUAUGGAGAACACGGGAGUUCAUGCACCUGCUGACUAAAGAAGAUUAUCCCAAAGUAUCCUGAAUCUUUUAAUAACCUGCAAGUAAUCAAUCCGCUGCUCCUCCAUCAUGAAAAUACUGCUCUGCUGGUCUCCAUCUGGUGGCUUAUACAAUCCUAUGGUGCUGCUAAUCCAACUGUUUCCCCCAAAGAAAUAAAUAUUACUCUGAUUACUUCUUUUAAAAUGCCUGGCAAGCAUAUAAAUCUCCAGCUGAUGGCUUGCAUGCUAUAAAUAAUUAAAGCUGCCCCCCCAGUUGACCCCGUGGAAGCAGGCUGGCUUGUCCUGACACUGAUGACCUUUUCAUCCAUAUUCAUAUCAUUCCCCACUGAUCUCAAAUGAUGGAAGCACAGUGCUGAAGAUCAAUACAGCAGGAUAUGGUUUAGCUUCCACCAGAUAGAAAAUGCGUGAAUCUCCAAGUAAAUUAUUCUCUGCAGGCCAAUAAAUUAAAAAACUUCCCUCCUUGUAAGGCCUUCACCUCCGCAGUGGAUAUUACUGUAGAGAUGUUCUUCAGUUUAAAGGAAUUGUGAUAUUUUCUUUUAUGUAUGUUAGAUACUCCAUCAAAGCUUUCCAUCUUACAGGCAAAAAGUAUAGUGCAAUAGAAUGUAACAAGCCAGUAAGAUAGUUUCUAGCAGAACUGACCUUUUCAUUAAACAUGAAUGGUGCGUUCUAGUAUCAGUUAGCAGAACAAAUGCUUCUUGCUAUGAGUUGUCCAGAGAAGCAGCAAUCUACUCUAACCUAAAAAUCUCUCUUCUUUAUUUACCUUAUUUAUAAGGCCAGCAAAGAAAUUUCAACAAUCCUGGAUUUCCUGUGUAAUACAUUAUUUUGAUAAAAAUGUACAGGGGCGUCUUCUCUUUUUUCAUGAGGUCUCAUUCACCUGUUGUGUAUUUUCUAAGUCUGGUCUCUGAGACAAGGAAGAAAUCUGUGCAGUUCAUAAAUCAGUGAUCUGCAGUUGAAUGACAGUCUCAGUUUUCCUUAACUGAUGCUUAAAUUCGAAUCAGGAUUUUCAUCCUUGAUAGGACCAAUGGUUUUAAAUUGAGACAAGGGAGAUUUAAGUUAGAUAUUAGGAGGAAGUUUUUCACACAG